UCAGGUCAUUUUGAAGUAUUCUGGUUAGAUCACUGUGUUUCCACCAUUCAAGAUUUUCCUUGUGUAAAAGAAGCGCUCUGCAAGCGUCAAAGGCAUCAUUUCCUUGCUAAGAAAGGAACAAAUUUAUGAUUUUCUUGACUUUGACUUUUAGAACGGGUGAGGCGUUUUUAUCUCUCUUGAAAGAGAAAUUUUAAUAUAUUAUUUUGCUCUAUAUUCUUUAGAAAGAAAUUCACCUACUUUUUCUUCUUUCAUUUCAUCGAACGCUUUGGCUCGAGACCAGAGACUAGAUUCUCACCAUUCCUUCCUUGAGAUUGCAACUCCAAAAAGCAUCAUUUUACUCCCCUGAUCUGGGGAGAAGAUAGCCACUCGGUGAGGGGUUGGAAAGUUGGCGUGGUUUGUACAUUUAAGUUACAGCUGGUUUGUUGGGAGGCUGGAAAGAUUUGUAGGUAGGUGGUCCACUUGUUAGCCAUUCGAGGUGUAUUUUAAGACAUCCAUAUUGAUGGCGAUCAAAUGGACGGUUGAAAAGAAGAGCUUGUUAGAUGUAUAGCAAAAUCUAAUGGUUUGUGCCAUUGGGUAAGUGUAAUCUUUGGGUUGUGGCCCACUCUAUAUUAAUGAAAUUUUAUUCUUGUGUGUCCUUUCUUUUUUA
Molecule: long non-coding RNA, 646 nt
Organism: Magnolia sinica
Lineage: Eukaryota; Viridiplantae; Streptophyta; Magnoliopsida; Magnoliales; Magnoliaceae
Exons: 2
Source: RefSeq, a predicted model, not a curated record